Hyla sarda is the source of this 623-nucleotide long non-coding RNA. RefSeq lists it as uncharacterized. The record is from RefSeq and is a predicted model, not a curated record. The transcript is spliced from 3 exons. Lineage: Eukaryota; Metazoa; Chordata; Amphibia; Anura; Hylidae.
UAAAUCUCCCCCUUUGAUGCACUUGAGGAGUGAUGGUUGGCCCAUCUGGUCUGAUCCCACAAAGGAUCGACUAAAAAAAAAGUAAUACUUGUCGAUAGGUGUCAGAACACACAGGGCAUCGCAACUUGAGACUGAAAAAUCAGCCUACACAUACAGUGAGAGAAGGAAGAAUGUGAGGAUACGGAGCAAGCUGCGUCAUCAUCUACGACUGAUUUUGUGGAGAAAAUAUUCCGCGCCGAGCGCUUGCAAAUGAGAACAACAGAUGUGAUGUGCGGAGUGCGAAUGACUGAGCGAUGCAGUAAUGUAUGAAUACGUAAAGACUGUGGAAGAUUAUGCACAACGGCGGAGCAGUAACCUGCUAUUUGAGGAAGAUUAGAUGCUCUGUGUGUGACCUACGAGUUUAUGGAAUUUACCAUUGAAAUGAAUAACCCCGACCUCGUGCUUACUGGCCUCUAACCUUAUUUGUAUGCUGGAAACUGGUUCCUCGCACUGGUAACGCUCCUCGGAAAGUAAUCUAUCUAUUCUUUUAUUCAGCAAUAAUUUAGAGUACAUUUUUCUUUCUUCCAUAAUUUUUCUCUGCAGCAGAUUUUUUAUUAUAUUUUUUAAAUUGUCACCACUAAAUG